Molecule: ribosomal RNA, 378 nt
Filed under: uncultured organism
Description: bacterial SSU rRNA
Rfam family: Bacterial small subunit ribosomal RNA
Source: RNAcentral
CAGAGGAGCCAAGCGUUGUCCGGAUUGACUGGGCGUAAAGCGCACGCAGGCGGCACCGCGCGUGGGGUGUGAAAUCUGGCCGCUUAACGGCCAGGCGCCAUCCCAUACGGCGGAGCUAGAGUGAUGCAGAGGUCGAUGGAAUUGCCGGUGUAGUGGUGAAAUGCGUAGAGAUCGGCAGGAACACCCAGGGGGAAACCAGUCGACUGGGCAUCUACUGACGCUGAGGUGCGAGAGCGUGGGGGAGCGAACCGGAUUAGAUACCCGGGUAGUCCACGCCGUAAACGAUGGCCACUCGGCCUUUGGUGGCGGAACCUCCGUCGCUGGGGGCCUUAGCUAACGCGGGAAGUGGCCCGCCUGGGAACUACGAGCGCAAGCUUA